AAAGCGUGCGCAGGCGGUUAUAUAAGACAGAUGUGAAAUCCCCGGGCUCAACCUGGGAACUGCAUUUGUGACUGUAUAGCUGGAGUGCGGCAGAAGGGGAUGGAAUUCCGCGUGUAGCAGUGAAAUGCGUAGAUAUGCGGAGGAACACCGAUGGCGAAGGCAAUCCCCUGGGCCUGCACUGACGCUCAUGCACGAAAGCGUGGGGAGCAAACAGGAUUAGAUACCCUGGU
RNAcentral lists this ribosomal RNA (230 nucleotides) under uncultured bacterium. RNAcentral describes it as "partial 16S ribosomal RNA". It matches the Rfam family "Bacterial small subunit ribosomal RNA", at positions 562 to 791 of the family's 1533-position model. The record is from RNAcentral.